AUGCUUUUUCUCCCUCUCUUUCUUCACUUUGUUUCCUCCCUGCCCGUCCCCAUCCCUCCUUUCUUCCCAUCUCUCUCCCCACCCAGACCCCUCCGUCCGUGCGGAAGUUCAUGUUCGCCCUGUGCCAACACGGUUUCUCAGCCCCUGCUUGCGUCCCCUCCGUGCCCAGAGCUGCUGCUGCGAGGCAGCAAAUGUAUUGGCGAUUCCCGCGCGGGCGCAGGCCGCGGCGGGGAAGGGCUGGAGCCCCUGCUCGUCUCCCUCGGCCCGGGCGGCACCAAACAGCAGCUUUUUAAGCCAGAAAGAGGGGGAAAAAAAAGAAAAGAGUUAGAAGAGCCAGCACCGAUACAUUUGUGCGCAAGCCGAGAGCAGCUCUGCCCCCGCCUUCCUCCUUGCUGCAAGAUCUGUGGCGGGUACCGGCUCUGCAAAUGCAGCCGGUGCUGGAGAGCCAAGAUACGGGGGGAAAACGCCGGCGGGGAAGGUCCUUUCUCGCCAUCCCUUCUCCUCCGGGAAAGCUUUCCCUCCCGCUGCCCUUUGCGCUUCCCAGCUGUCCUGUUCCUUGCGGUUUCCACUCUGGAGAACCGCAGCGAGAUGCUUGCGGAGAAACAGGAGCCUGCGAGUGCCCGGUCGCCGCUUCCCACCGUUCAACGCCAGCAGCUGGGUUCACAGCCCCGGGCRCAGGCGGGUGCUGAGGACAGGGUGCCUGGCUCAGCCGCGGGACCAUCCCGGCGGCGCAGCCCCACCGGCAGCACCGGGGACCCUUCCCGUUCCCGAGCUGGGCUAGACCGCGUCCCGCUUGGUUGUGGCCACGGGGAGACGAGGGAAAGGCAGCUUUGCUCCCGCAACAGCCCCAGCACAGCAAAGGCACAAGGCCAAAUCCUGCUUUGCUCUGCCCCGGGGGCCRCGGUGGCCUCAGUCCCUGCCCCGAGCACAGGACACGGCCGUCGGGGCCAGGCGGAGCCAUUCCCAGCCUUUGGCCCCCACGUUUGCCCACGCGGUCGGCGCCUUUGCCGCUUGCGGGUCCUCUGGCCUCAGCACCGCGCUGCCUUGGGGGCCGGCUCCGGGCUCUCGGCGUCUCCUCCUGCGGCCGCCCCGUGCUCGGAGAGGGGAAGGUGCCGCUGGGGCCGGGCUCGGAGGGCAGAGGAGCGCAGCGCGGAGCAGAGCAGGAUGCUUCGGGCUGCCGCUCGCCUGCCUCCCCCCUUCUUUGAGCUUUUUCAGUGUAGCCCCCACCCUGGGCUGGACCCCUCCGCCCCUCGUGGGUCCUGGGCAUCCCCAAAAGCUCAGCCCCGACGCCAGCUCGCUUGUGCUCGCCGCAGCUCAUCUUAG
This 1323-nucleotide long non-coding RNA is filed under the name Apteryx haastii (Great spotted kiwi). RNAcentral describes it as "lncRNA (ENSAHAG00000014997.1)". Lineage: Eukaryota; Metazoa; Chordata; Aves; Apterygiformes; Apterygidae. The record is from RNAcentral.